GCCGCUGAGACACAGCCACGCGCAUGGUGCACGUGCUGCAAUGCGCAGCUCGACUGCGCAGAAACGAGAGCGUAGACACACGAGUGCAGACACACAGGAAGUGGUCUCUCUUUCCACAAGAAGACGGCCGCGACUCAGCAGCUUAGGAGACGUUUGCCUCCUAUUUGGCAUUUUUUUUUAGAUCCAGUUGCUGCUCUUUGAUGCAUUUCCACAAAGACAAACUGCAUCUGCUCUGUUGUGUGGACCUGAAGCUCCAUCUGAUCUCAAAGUAGUGAACCUCUUGUUCACUGGAUUUAUGGUGGAGGCAAGAACAGAGACAUACUACAGACCUCAUGGCCUAAUCACUGGCAAACAGAAGGGUAACUGAAAAUAUGCAGUGUUGGACUGUAUGUCAGAUUGUAGGUCUGUUAAUUUUUUAAGCAAAAUUUCAUGUUUUGAUUACUAGGUGUAAAGUUACUUUUUUUUUCUUUCAAUAAAGGAUUUGUUUUUCUCA
This is a long non-coding RNA of Oryzias latipes (Japanese medaka), 493 nucleotides long. RefSeq lists it as uncharacterized. Lineage: Eukaryota; Metazoa; Chordata; Actinopteri; Beloniformes; Adrianichthyidae. The record is from RefSeq and is a predicted model, not a curated record.